Molecule: long non-coding RNA, 346 nt
Organism: Osmerus eperlanus (European smelt)
Lineage: Eukaryota; Metazoa; Chordata; Actinopteri; Osmeriformes; Osmeridae
Exons: 3
Source: RefSeq, a predicted model, not a curated record
GUUCCUACUUAAGUUUGUUUUGUUGUCUUUGCUAACUUCAUAUUCUCGGCAGCAGAUCAGCAACCCUGUCCUAUGUGCAUGGACAUAUUUCCCUGUCACAUUAUUGAGGCACAUGCUGCUUCAUGCGGGGAAAGUGCAGGAAAUGAGGCAAUUGAGUGUAGUACUGUGAUGGAAGAAGAGCAAGCAGUAAUGCCUGGACCGUCCAGAAGCAGUGCAGCAGUUACAGACGACUGGCUCACCAUCCAAGACCCUACCAAGGCCAUGUCUCAGUUUCGGGAUUCCCUAUUGCACAUUUAUGAAAAGGAGAGUGCUUUGGUUCUCAGCAUGGAUACUAGAGAAACCCCUG